GUAAAUCAACUAUGCUUUAAUAAAAAAUGUAAAAUAAAUACACAUAACAAGAUUGUUUUUCAUUGACAAUGCUGGCUCCUUAACCCACUGCACCCCAAGGGAACUCCCUAUCUUAAUUAUUCUUACGUGCGAGGUCCUGUGGUUAUUAAACCGCAGAUGUUUGGAAGGAGCACCGCGCUACGCUCCAGAGCCCGGCAAUCAACUUAGCUCCUGGCUCGCCGGUGACUAGGUGGCCUUAGGUGAGCUCCUCAGCCACUGGAACCCCAGCCUUCUCUCUGUAAAGAGGAGAUUUUCACAGUGUCAACUCCGCAGCGCUGGCAAGGCUGGAAGGCCAUGGGUGGGAAGCACUGGGCAGUGCUUGGCUCAGAAGGCACCGCGUACACGUUACCCAUUGUUGUUAUUCUAGAGCUUGGAAUUCAGAAUCAGAAUCAGGUCGGGUUUCACCCACCAGGUCGCGCGGAUACAGCUCGGUGCUGGCUGUAGACCGGGCUGAACCCCCUGAGUGGAGGUCGGGGGGGUCUGAGAAGUGCUCUGGCUUCCAGGACCAAGUAAGCCUCUGUGCUCUCUUCUCUGGGGCUGUCUCUCUGUCCCUCUGCACCUCUGGGGCUGGGUGGAGCUGGGGCUGCUGCUUCCAGCCAUGGGACUGGACGGAGAUUCUCAACCUCUUGCUCGACUGGGGUGCCUCCUUAUGGUACCUACUUCCUCGGCCAUCGCCAGACACGGUAAUGGUUGCUGGGCAGUGCGGAGAGACAUCCAACUUGAACCUCGUCCUGAAAGAUCUUACAGUCCAACUAGGGGGAUGAGACAUGUGCGACUGGGCCAUUUACCAGCUGAUAAUUAUUACUGACUGCCUACCAUGCACAAGAUGUUUGAUAAGGGAGUUCCCGUCACGGUGCAGCGGAAACAAAUCCAACUAGGAACCAGGAGGUUUCAGGCUCGAUCCCUGGCCUCGCUCAGUGGGUUAAAGAUCUGGCAUUGUUGUGAGCUGUUGGUGGAGAUUGAAGGCACGACCCGGAUCCUGCAUGGCUGUGGCUGUGGUGUAGGCCAAUAGCUGUAGCUUCAAUUCAGCCCCUAGCCUGGGAACCUCCAUGUGCCACAGGUGUGGCCCUAAAAAGCAAAAACAACAACAAAAAAGUUUGUUGAUUCAGGCACAGCCACAGAAAUCCAGAGGUGGGAGAAAUGAUAGUAGUUUGGUCAUAUUCAUCUAAACUGAAGCCUGGCCUCUCUUGAUGAGAUGGCUGGAGUGGGUUGGAUGCCGGGUUUUCAGGGAAGGUUUCACAGAAUAGAACUAGCUGUAGAUGUUGCCCAAAAGCAUUUACUAGAAAAUACCCCGGAGUUCCCCCCGUCAUGGCUCAGUGGUUAAUGAAUCUGACUAGCAUCCAGGAGGAUGCAGAUACAAUCCCUGGCCUUUCUCAGUGGGUUAAGGACCCAGCAUUGCCGUGAGCUGUGGUGUAGGCCGCAGACAGGGUUUGGAUCUUGCAUUGCUGUGGCUGUGGUGUAGGCUGGCAGCUACAGCUCGAUUCGAACCCUGGCCUGGGAACCUCCAUGUGCCAUGGAUACGGCCCUAAAAACAAAAAACAAACAAACAAAAAAAACGCCAAGUUAUGGUCCUCAGGUUACUUUGAGAGACUGUGAAGCAAUGAAUCCAGCUGUUUGUGAGGGUUCCUGUAAGGCGAGUGGAAAAUUCAAAUGGAAAUGGGGUCCGAGAAAGAAAAGUGUGAGGGAGGCUGGGACUUGCCCUCUCUGUGGCCUUUACAUACAUCCCUCCGGGUUUACUUUCCAUCUGAAUACUUUGGAUGGAGACCUAGGAACCAAAAACUUACUUCUCUAUUCUAGGAAAAACGUGAGUGCAGACAUAAGCAGCUGAUCCUCAGGCUCAGAGACAGGGAGGACUUGGGAAUGGACUGAACUUAGAGUGAAUGGGGAAAUACAGUCCUGUGUAAAAGGAGGCAGCCGGAGUGCCCGUCGUGGCUCAGCGGUUAACAAAUCCGACCAGGAACCAUAAGGUUUCAGGUUCAAUCCCUGGCCUUGCUCAGUGGGUUGAGGAUCCAGCAUUGCCGUGAGCUGUGGUGUAGGUCGCAGACAUGGCUCAGAUCCUGCAUUGCUGUGGUUGAGGCCAGGGACCGAACCUUUGUCCUCAUGGAGGCUAGUCAGAUUCGUUAACCACUGAGACAUGACAGGAACUCCGAUAAUACAGGUUUUCGACACAGAAAGUUGAAAGCUGAAAGAUGGUGGCAGUGGGACUGGAAAAUAGGUUGGAGCAAAACAAACAAAAAGAGAGAGACAAAAACUAAAAGAUGGUAAGAUGAGGGAAGCAGUAGGGUGUGGCAGGAGAAAAGAUAAGCAGGAUCCAGCUAAGAGUGAACCCGCUCUCCCGCCGCCGGAGAGAGGAAGGCCAACCAGGUCGGUUUCAGGCCUGCAGACUUCGGCGAAGUCCGCCUGCCUUCACCCUAACGCUGACCCGGGAAUGAGCUCGCGGGCCCAACCAGCGCUCCGCGGCCCUAGCCCCGCUCCCGGCUUCCUGAGGCUCUGGGGCAAGGCCGUUUACAAACGGAUUUUAUAAACCAGUUGCCUACGGUUAGAGUCACCGGCUCUUCAGGGCAACUUGUGGGGCUCAAGAAGGAGACGGAGGCGGAGGCGGAGGCGGAGGCGGACGCGCUGGCACUUGGAAGCGGGAGGAAAAGAGGGAGCGGUUUCUUACCCGGGGCUCUGGAAGGACGGAGGCCUCAGAGAGGGGACGGCGAGGGCCGGGCUGCUGGCCCUUCCAGGAGAAACGGCCGCCAGCCUCGCGCCUCACGGCACGAGCCUCCGGGGCGGCUAAGUUCACAGGCGCCCCCGCACCGCCCCGGGGACCGCGGUCUGCGCCGCCGGCUUCUCCUCCCCACUCACAGUCCCCCUCUCUUUCUGGAGCUCCUGUCCUCCGCGGGAAGGCCCUGGCCAAGGGGUAGCCCUGAGCGCCGCACCC
This 2965-nucleotide long non-coding RNA is filed under the name Sus scrofa (pig). RNAcentral's name for it is "lncRNA (ENSSSCG00050077110.1)". The record is from RNAcentral. Lineage: Eukaryota; Metazoa; Chordata; Mammalia; Artiodactyla; Suidae.